UAUUUUCAGACGUGUUGUCAUUUCCAUAUACCUGAGACAACCACGGAUGUAUGUUGGAGAUGCUGUGACAAUGAUUUAUGUAAUGCCAAUUGUACAAGUAUACCUUACAACAACGCACAUACAACAAAACGUCCUUGCGUUGAUAGAUCAUCGUCAGUUACUUGUGAACUUGCUUCAAGCAUUGCGUGUAGUGACAAAGAUAAGGCAAGUCACGCCGGAUGUUCUCAUUUUUGCGGAUUUUGCUAAAGGAGCUUUGACAAUUUAUUUUUUGAUGAAAUUAAUUUGUUAAAAUUUUGAAUAUACAUCGAUAAUAAAUACUGAUGUAAAUUAAA
Long non-coding RNA from Ruditapes philippinarum (Manila clam), 332 nucleotides. RefSeq lists it as uncharacterized. The transcript is spliced from 2 exons. The record is from RefSeq and is a predicted model, not a curated record. NCBI's taxonomy places the organism in Eukaryota, Metazoa, Mollusca, Bivalvia, Venerida, Veneridae.